RNAcentral lists this transfer RNA (70 nucleotides) under Marmota monax (woodchuck). RNAcentral describes it as "tRNA.Ala". The record is from RNAcentral. Lineage: Eukaryota; Metazoa; Chordata; Mammalia; Rodentia; Sciuridae.
GAGGUUGUGGCUCAGUGGUAGAGUGCUUGCCUAGCAUGUGGGGGCCCUGGGUUCCAUCCUCAGCACCACA